Molecule: ribosomal RNA, 926 nt
Filed under: Rhoenanthus speciosus
Lineage: Eukaryota; Metazoa; Arthropoda; Insecta; Ephemeroptera; Potamanthidae
Description: eukaryotic LSU rRNA
Rfam family: Eukaryotic large subunit ribosomal RNA (bases 431-926)
Source: RNAcentral
AGGGGAGAUUCAGUAUCCAGUCCGCACCGCCGCUCCGCGUCGUCGGUCUUACGGGGUCGCCUCGGCGGCCGCCGGGUCCGCGGCGCGGUCUCGCGCGCGGGCGGUGGAGCGCACUUCUCCCCGAGUAGGACGCCGCGACCCGCUGGGUGUCGGCCUACGGCCCGGGUGCGAGCCCGUCGCAAGCGACUCGUCGCGCGCGGCGGAGCCCCGGAGUCCCGGCCGACUGCCCGGCGGUCACGAUUCGGAACCGGCCCUCGAGACCCUCGGUCUCGAGCCAGUGCCUCGCGCGAGCGUGGCGCGGGACCCCGUGGACGGACUCGUCCGUCGCGGGCCCGCGCGCGCUGUCGGCGCGGGGACUUCUCUGGCGGGGCCUACUCCGGUCCGCGGCGCUCAAAUCUGGGCGGCCCCCCCGGCCCGUCUUGAAGCACGGACCAAGGAGUCUAACACGCGCGCGAGUCGUCGGGUGCCACUACGCCCGAAGGCGCAUUGAACGAAAAGGCCGGCCUCCGCGCCGGCCGAGGGAAGAUGGAGCCUCCCCCGGGGGGCUCCCGCAUUCCCGGGGCGUCUCGUCCUACCGCCGCUCGUCGGCGGAAGGUGAGGCGCACCAAGAGCGCGCGCGUUGGGACCCGAAAGAUGGUGAACUAUGCCUGGCCAGGACGAAGUCAGGGGAAACCCUGAUGGAGGUCCGUAGCGAUUCUGACGUGCAAAUCGAUCGUCGGAGCUGGGUAUAGGGGCGAAAGACUAAUCGAACCAUCUAGUAGCUGGUUCCUUCCGAAGUUUCCCUCAGGAUAGCUGGCGCUCGGAGUCUUUGAGUCCCAUCCGGUAAAGCGAAUGAUUAGAGGCCUUGGGGUCGAAACGACCUCUACCUAUUCUCAAACUUUAAAUGGGUGGGAACCGCGGCUUGCUGAACGUGAAGCCGCGGACCA